GAUUUUAUAGCUUACAAAAAGCAUUGCUUUGAAGGAGCAAAGACAAUUUCCUUUGAAAUCG
This 61-nucleotide transfer RNA is filed under the name Fruticicola koreana. Its description in RNAcentral is "tRNA-Phe". The record is from RNAcentral. Lineage: Eukaryota; Metazoa; Mollusca; Gastropoda; Stylommatophora; Camaenidae.